Non-coding RNA from Chrysemys picta bellii (western painted turtle), 387 nucleotides. Lineage: Eukaryota; Metazoa; Chordata; Testudines; Emydidae. The record is from RefSeq and is a predicted model, not a curated record.
GGCCCUGACAGCACAACUUCACAUCUAAUAAAAACCACGUUGGUAAGAAAUCUCCAAACCUAGGAAAACCUGAGACGUGAGCAGAGCGGUCCUUUGGGUGGUCAUAAGAAAAUGCUUUAUUUGUCAAUACUGCAACGUGAAAUAGAUGCAGACACAUUCAAGAUACAAACUGAAGUGAGCAUAUCCAUCUAGCUCAUGGAAGAGCAUCUGACACAGCUUCACAUUGCUUUUGGAAUUAAAUUUCCCAAUCCAGGGUAGGUAUAGCCACAGGCUGCCAUAAUGUAAAUACCUAUUGAUACGGACAUCAGGAUCAGAAUCACUUACAGGCUGACCUGGAAAAAGAAAAAGCUGCCCACCAGCCUGGACUUAAGAGACAAAGCAAUUAAG